AUGCUCGCUUCGGCAGCACAUAUACUAAAAUUGGAACAACACAGAGAAGAUUAGCAUGGCCCCUGCGUGAGGAUGACAUGUAAAUUCAUGAAGCAUAAAUAAAAAAA
Myodes glareolus (Bank vole) is the source of this 107-nucleotide small nuclear RNA. NCBI's taxonomy places the organism in Eukaryota, Metazoa, Chordata, Mammalia, Rodentia, Cricetidae. The record is from RefSeq and is a predicted model, not a curated record.